RNAcentral lists this small RNA (25 nucleotides) under Bombyx mori (domestic silkworm). RNAcentral describes it as "ovarian small RNA-5939". The record is from RNAcentral. Lineage: Eukaryota; Metazoa; Arthropoda; Insecta; Lepidoptera; Bombycidae.
UACAGAAUUGUUGAAGGCAAGUGGU